GGGCACUUCGGUGCUAGUGGCAGACGGGUGAGUAACACGUGGGAACGUACCUUUCGGUUCGGAAUAAUACAGGGAAACUUGUACUAAUACCGGAUACGCCCUUCGGGGGAAAGAUUUAUCGCCGAUUGAUCGGCCCGCGUCUGAUUAGCUAGUUGGUGAGGUAAUGGCUCACCAAGGCGACGAUCAGUAGCUGGUCUGAGAGGAUGAUCAGCCACACUGGGACUGAGACACGGCCCAGACUCCUACGGGAGGCAGCAGUGGGGAAUAUUGGACAAUGGGCGCAAGCCUGAUCCAGCCAUGCCGCGUGUGUGAUGAAGGCCUUAGGGUUGUAAAGCACUUUUGUCCGGGAAGAUAAUGACUGUACCGGAAGAAUAAGCCCCGGCUAACUUCGUGCCAGCAGCCGCGGUAAUACGAAGGGGGCUAGCGUUGCUCGGAAUCACUGGGCGUAAAGGGCGCGUAGGCGGACUCUUAAGUCGGGGGUGAAAGCCCAGGGCUCAACCCUGGAAUUGCCUUCGAUACUGAGAGUCUUGAGUUCGGAAGAGGUUGGUGGAACUGCGAGUGUAGAGGUGAAAUUCGUAGAUAUUCGCAAGAACACC
RNAcentral lists this ribosomal RNA (596 nucleotides) under Allobosea sp. RNAcentral's name for it is "bacterial SSU rRNA". It matches the Rfam family "Bacterial small subunit ribosomal RNA", at positions 72 to 710 of the family's 1533-position model. The record is from RNAcentral. Lineage: Bacteria; Pseudomonadati; Pseudomonadota; Alphaproteobacteria; Hyphomicrobiales; Alloboseaceae.